GAAACUUUCAUACAACUAGCUGAAAGAAGAGAAACAUCCUAUUUUAUGUCACUGGAGCCCUAAUGAUCGCAGCCAUUUCAGGAAAUGCCAUCAAUUACAGUGAGGAGCUCAUUCAGAAGUGAAAGAUGAGUUCCAUUCUCUGUUACUUAGAGGUAUUACAAAGCUCAAAUCUGAGAAAACCUUGUCUACCAUCAACCCUGACCUACAGAGGAGAGCCACCCCCAAACUUAUUAGUGAUCCUGUCUCUGUCUUAUUGGCACAUCCUGAUGGCCUUGAUCUCUAGUUCUUCCUGUGGAGCAUAACCAUAUGGUUCUUUGCCAAGAUGUUAAGACCAAAGUCGGAGAGUGAACCCCAUGUCAAUGAAUUCUUGUUUUUCUGAUCUUACAUUCUAUCACUUUGAUCCGGUACUCUCAAAAUGCAAUCACAGUUGUACAUGUCUUCUCCUGUCAAUAAACGCUACCUUAGUACUGCA
RNAcentral lists this long non-coding RNA (472 nucleotides) under Pan troglodytes (chimpanzee). RNAcentral's name for it is "lincRNA". The record is from RNAcentral. Lineage: Eukaryota; Metazoa; Chordata; Mammalia; Primates; Hominidae.